AAAUGAAUUGACGGGGGCCCGCACAAGCGGUGGAGCAUGUGGUUUAAUUCGAUGCUACGCGAAGAACCUUACCAGGGCUUGACAUCCCCGGACCGCCCCGGAAACGGGGCUUCUGUAGCGAUACAGCCGGGAGACAGAUGCUGCAUGGCUGUCGUCAGCUCGUGUCGUGAGAUGUUGGGUUAAGUCCCGCAACGAGCGCAACCCCCAUCCUGUGUUGCCAGCGAGUGAAGUCGGGAACUCACAGGAAACUGCCCCUGUAAGGGGGAGGAAGGUGGGGAUGACGUCAAGUCAGCAUGGCUCUUACGUCCUGGGCUACACACAUGCUACAAUGGAUGCGACAGAGGGAAGCGAGGCCGCGAGGCGGAGCGGAUCCCAAAAAGGCAUCCCCAGUUCGGACUGCAGUCUGCAAUUCGACUGCACGAAGGCGGAAUCGCUAGUAACCGCAGGUCAGCAGUACUGCGGUGAAUACGUUCCCGGGCCUUGUACACACCGCCCGU
This 497-nucleotide ribosomal RNA is filed under the name uncultured bacterium. Its description in RNAcentral is "bacterial SSU rRNA". It matches the Rfam family "Bacterial small subunit ribosomal RNA", at positions 903 to 1397 of the family's 1533-position model. The record is from RNAcentral.